RNAcentral lists this ribosomal RNA (418 nucleotides) under Rhizobium sp. oral taxon C41. RNAcentral's name for it is "bacterial SSU rRNA". It matches the Rfam family "Bacterial small subunit ribosomal RNA", at positions 29 to 494 of the family's 1533-position model. The record is from RNAcentral. Lineage: Bacteria; Pseudomonadati; Pseudomonadota; Alphaproteobacteria; Hyphomicrobiales; Rhizobiaceae.
AACGAACGCUGGCGGCAGGCUUAACACAUGCAAGUCGAACGCCCCGCAAGGGGAGUGGCAGACGGGUGAGUAACGCGUGGGAACAUACCCUUUCCUGCGGAAUAGCUCCGGGAAACUGGAAUUAAUACCGCAUACGCCCUACGGGGGAAAGAUUUAUCGGGGAAGGAUUGGCCCGCGUUGGAUUAGCUAGUUGGUGGGGUAAAGGCCUACCAAGGCGACGAUCCAUAGCUGGUCUGAGAGGAUGAUCAGCCACAUUGGGACUGAGACACGGCCCAAACUCCUACGGGAGGCAGCAGUGGGGAAUAUUGGACAAUGGGCGCAAGCCUGAUCCAGCCAUGCCGCGUGAGUGAUGAAGGCCUUAGGGUUGUAAAGCUCUUUUCACCGGAGAAGAUAAUGACGUAUCCGGAGAAGAAGCCCC